Molecule: ribosomal RNA, 307 nt
Filed under: Pyrgota undata
Lineage: Eukaryota; Metazoa; Arthropoda; Insecta; Diptera; Pyrgotidae
Description: bacterial SSU rRNA
Rfam family: Eukaryotic small subunit ribosomal RNA
Source: RNAcentral
UGACUCAACACGGGCAGCUCACCAGGUCCGAACAUAAGCGUGUAAGACAGAUUGAUAGCUCUUUCUCGAAUCUAUGGGUGGUGGUGCAUUGCCGUUCUUAGUUCGUGGAGUGAUUUGUCUGGUUAAUUCCGAUAACGAACGAGACUCAAAUAUAUUAAAUAGAUGCUUUCAGGAUUAUGGCGUUGAAGCUUAUAUAGCCUUCAUUUGUGAGUGCACUAUCAAGUGAUACAAGCGUUUGAAUGUGUUUAUAUAAGUGGAGUCGUACCUUUUGGUUUGUCCCAUUAUAAAAGGACACUAGCUUUUAAAU